UCGAGAAUAUUUAGCAAUGGACGAAAGUCUGACUAUGCGACGCCGCGUGAGGGAUGAAGGUCUUCGGAUCGUAAACCUCUUUCGAUGUGGAAGAAGCCCCAAGCAAUUGGGGUUGACGGUACUCAGAGAAGAAGCCACGGCUAACUCCGUGCCAGCAGCCGCGGUAAUACGGAGGUGGCGAGCGUUACUCGGAUUUAUUGGGUGUAAAGGGCAGGUAGGUGGCUAUGCAAGUUGGAGGUGAAAUCCUCGGGCUUAACCCGAGAACUGCCUUCAAAACUGCAUAGCUUGAGGCUGGUAGAGGAAAGCGGAAUUCCCGGUGUAAGGGUGAAAUCUGUAGAUAUCGGGAGGAACACCAGUGGCGAAGGCGGCUUUCUGGUCCAGUCCUGACACUGAGCUGCGAAAGCUUGGGGAGCAAACAGG
This 420-nucleotide ribosomal RNA is filed under the name uncultured bacterium. Its description in RNAcentral is "bacterial SSU rRNA". It matches the Rfam family "Bacterial small subunit ribosomal RNA", at positions 355 to 776 of the family's 1533-position model. The record is from RNAcentral.